Molecule: ribosomal RNA, 1500 nt
Filed under: Veillonella sp.
Lineage: Bacteria; Bacillati; Bacillota; Negativicutes; Veillonellales; Veillonellaceae
Description: partial 23S ribosomal RNA
Rfam family: Bacterial large subunit ribosomal RNA
Source: RNAcentral
UAAGGUUAAGUUAAUAAGGGCGCACGGUGGAUGCCUUGGCACUAGGAGCCGAAGAAGGACGUGACAAACGACGAAAUGCCUCGGGGAGCUGUAAGUAAGCUUAGAUCCGGGGGUGUCCGAAUGGGGGAACCCAGCAGGUGAUACCUGUUACCCAUAUCUGUUAAGGAUAUGAGGAGGAAGACGCAGUGAACUGAAACAUCUAAGUAGCUGCAGGAAGAGAAAGCAAAAGCGAUUGCCUUAGUAGCGGCGAGCGAAACGGCAGGAGGGCAAACCGAAGAGUUUACUCUUCGGGGUUGUAGGACUGCAAUGUGGACUCAAAGAUUAUAGAAGAAUGAUUUGGGAAGAUCAGCCAAAGAGAGUAAUAGCCUCGUAUUUAAAAUAGUCUUUGUACCUAGCAGUAUCCUGAGUACGGCGGGACACGAGAAAUCCCGUCGGAAUCUGGGAGGACCAUCUCCCAACCCUAAAUACUCCCUAGUGACCGAUAGUGAACCAGUACCGUGAGGGAAAGGUGAAAAGCACCCCGGGAGGGGAGUGAAAUAGAACCUGAAACCGUGUGCCUACAACAAGUUCGAGCCCGUUAAUGGGUGAGAGCGUGCCUUUUGUAGAAUGAACCGGCGAGUUACGAUAUGAUGCGAGGUUAAGUUGAAGAGACGGAGCCGUAGGGAAACCGAGUCUGAAUAGGGCGUCUUAGUAUUAUGUCGUAGACCCGAAACCAUGUGACCUACCCAUGAGCAGGUUGAAGGUGCGGUAAAACGCACUGGAGGACCGAACCAGGGCACGUUGAAAAGUGCUUGGAUGACUUGUGGGUAGCGGAGAAAUUCCAAACGAACUUGGAGAUAGCUGGUUCUCUCCGAAAUAGCUUUAGGGCUAGCGUCGACAUAAAGAUUCUUGGAGGUAGAGCACUGUUUGGGUGAGGGGUCCAUCCCGGAUUACCAAUCUCAGAUAAACUCCGAAUGCCAAUGAAUUAUGGUCGGCAGUCAGACUGCGAGUGCUAAGAUCCGUAGUCGAAAGGGAAACAGCCCAGACCACCAGCUAAGGUCCCAAAAUAAUUGUUAAGUGGAAAAGGAUGUGGGGUUGCACAGACAACUAGGAUGUUAGCUUAGAAGCAGCUAUUCAUUCAAAGAGUGCGUAAUAGCUCACUNNNNNNNNNNCGUAAGACUAAGGUUGCCAGGGGAAGGCUCGUCCGCCCUGGGUUAGUCGGGACCUAAGGAGAGACCGAAAGGUGUAUCCGAUGGACAACAGGUUGAUAUUCCUGUACUAGAGUAUGUAGUGAUGGAGGGACGCAGUAGGCUAACUAAAGCAGACGAUUGGAAGUGUCUGUCUAAGCAGUGAGGUGUGAUAUGAGUCAAAUGCUUAUAUCUUUAACAUUGAGCUGUGAUGGGGAGCGAAGUUUAGUAGCGAAGUUAGUGAUGUCACACUGCCGAGAAAAGCUUCUAGCGUUAAUUAUACUCUACCCGUACCGCAAACCGACACAGGUAGUCGAGGCGAGUAGCCUCAGGU